RNAcentral lists this ribosomal RNA (699 nucleotides) under Choanephora cucurbitarum. RNAcentral's name for it is "partial large subunit ribosomal RNA". It matches the Rfam family "Eukaryotic large subunit ribosomal RNA", at positions 50 to 654 of the family's 3401-position model. The record is from RNAcentral. Lineage: Eukaryota; Fungi; Mucoromycota; Mucoromycetes; Mucorales; Choanephoraceae.
GCGGAGGAAAAGAAAAUAACAAUGAUUUCCCUAGUAACGGCGAGUGAACAGGAAAGAGCUCAAAGUUGGAACCUGUUUGGUUUAGCCAAACCGGAUUGUAAACUGUAGAAGUGUUUUCCUGACACGCCUGACGAAAAAGUCCAUUGGAACAUGGUGACAUAGAGGGUGAGAGCCCCGUAUUUUGUCAGAGCUGUUGUCUCUUGUGAUACACUUUCAAAGAGUCAGGUUGUUUGGGAAUGCAGCCUAAAUUGGGUGGUAAAUCUCACCUAAAGCUAAAUAUUGGCAAAAGACCGAUAGCGAACAAGUACCGUGAGGGAAAGAUGAAAAGAACUUUGAAAAGAGAGUUAAACAGUAUGUGAAAUUGUUAAAAGGGAACCGUUUGGAGCCAGACUGGCUUGAUUGUAAUCAAUCUAGAUCUCGAUCUGGAUGCACUUGCAGUCUAUGCCUGCCAACGACAAUUCAUUCUGGAGGAAAAAACUAAGUGGAAUGUGGCCCCUCGGGGUGUUAUAGACUCUUAGAAAAUACUCUGGUUUGGAUUGAGGAACGCAGUGAAUGCUAUUUGGCGAAGAUGCUGGGUGCUUUUAUUUUUGUUGUCUAGAAUUUCUGCUUCGGGUGGUGCUAGAUACCACGAGUAAAACUCGCCUAGUAUACUUUUUAUUCACUUAGGUUGUUGGCUUAAUGACUCUAAAUGACCCGUCU